CAGUCGCCGCGGGAAUACGAAGGUCCCGAGCGUUGUUCGGAAUCACUGGGCGUAAAGGGAGCGUAGGCGGCGUGGUAAGUCAGAUGUGAAAUCCCGGGGCUCAACCCCGGAACUGCAUCCGAUACUGCCAUGCUAGAGGAUUGGAGAGGUAGCUGGAAUUCUUGGUGUAGCAGUGAAAUGCGUGGAGAUCAAGAGGAACACUCGUGGCGAAAGCGAGCUACUGGACAGUAACUGACGCUGAGGCUCGAAGGCCAGGGUAGCGAAAGGGAUUAGAUACCCCCGUAGUCCCUGUCUCUUAUAC
RNAcentral lists this ribosomal RNA (301 nucleotides) under uncultured bacterium. RNAcentral's name for it is "partial 16S ribosomal RNA". It matches the Rfam family "Bacterial small subunit ribosomal RNA", at positions 509 to 807 of the family's 1533-position model. The record is from RNAcentral.